This is a non-coding RNA of Cyanistes caeruleus (blue tit), 271 nucleotides long. The record is from RefSeq and is a predicted model, not a curated record. NCBI's taxonomy places the organism in Eukaryota, Metazoa, Chordata, Aves, Passeriformes, Paridae.
CUCCGGAGCGGAUUUCGGGUGACGUCAUUUCCGGCGACUCUCCGGCGCUUCCUGCGUGACUCGUUGGUUCCGGCGAGCGGCGAGCGAGGGUUAAUUAGGAUGGCUGAGGACAUCCAGGCCAGGCUGGGGUGCUAAUUAAGCUCUGUAAUUAUGUUAAUUAGGUUAAUUAGCGUGGCUGAGGACAUCCAGGCCAGGCUGGGGUGCUAAUUAAGGUGUGUAAUUAUGUUAAUUAGGUUAAUUAGGAUGGCUGAUGGCAUCCAGGCCAGGCUGG